AACCCUAAGCUUUUUACUUUGUGUGAGUUGAUCAUGGACAGAUUUCUUCUUAAGGAAAUCACUGGAGAGACAUCAGCAAAUGACAUCAAGUCUGUCUCAUCUCCUGUCAUUCUUAAGGUGUUUUCUUCUUGGUUACUUGCAGUUAACUGGUCUUCCGCAUAGAUCAUCCAUGGGUUAGACCUGGGUCAGCUUUUUAGACUUAGAUAGGAGAAGGGCCUGCAGGAAGAUGAGACAAGGCUACGUUUCCAAAUUCACCACUGGUACCCAUGUGAGUGCAUCUAGAGAGAGAACACCUCACCCAAGAAGUAUGGUACAGACCUGGCCAAUAAUGGACAUCUCCACCUAUGUUCAGGAAAGACUUUUUUCUGGCUUUUUCCUACCAUUUCCAGAUGGUAAAAUAUUUCUAGUGCUGUGACAUAUUUAUUAUGACCCAAUCGUCUUGUCAAAUUCAUUGGUGGAUAAUUCCUAGAAAUCAGGGAAAGUCACCAAGUUGUAUUUACCUUCCCUUGACUGGUGGUAUUUCUAUCUUUGAUUCUUAGUACAGAGAAAGCAUGGAAUGAAGAGAAGUGAGUGUUCCUAUUGCUAGAAUCAUUUCAGAGGUGCACUACUAGGUACUUCGGGGAGUUCAAUUAAAAAAAGUUGAUGGAUCAAUAUGGAAGAAAAGGUAGAAGGUUAUUUGUAGUUAGGUACAUAUUAAGAAAUUGUACUUCCCUGAAUGAUGAGAGGAAUGAUGAUUAAAGGAAGAGGUGGAAUUUCCCGAAAUGGUGAAAUUCAUCUCUCAUCUGCCUUCCCCUUCUUUCCCCAUCCUGGCCCAUAGCACCAAGUCACUAGAAUUUAGGCAGCAUGUGGAAAAAGAAGUCCAUCUCUAAGGCAGAGUUGACUCGUUCAGCUUUCUCCUGUAUGGAGCAGUGGUGAUUCAUGCCUUCCUCCGCUGUCACACUGUCAGCAUCCGCUAAUCAUAGCCCCGUGAUCACAGGACUUGGGCACAUAAACAAUUUCCAGGAGGUUCAGAGCAGCCCAGGGACCUCGCAGGCAUAAACACCGGUUAUUCUGUAAUUCAUUACAUGCCCCUCCCCAUCAUCUUGACAUGUGCUUGAAAUAAUAGCUUUCCUUAAAACGUUUGAACAUGUUGGUGGACUAGAUCCUUUCACUGUCCUUGGUACACACAUUGUUGUCUUACUAAGUCUGCUUUUAAAUGGAACUCUUUGGCUGUCCUGCUGAAGCUCAGGGGGCGGGGGGAUGUGUUUCGUGAAGAAUAUCAAGAGGAUACAGUGAUGGGAUUUCAAACACAAAUUGGUUCUUCUUGUGCUUUGCAUGUAUAUGUUGUGAGAGGCGAGAGAGUGAGGCCCUUGAAUGCUAUUGUGAAGCAGACUGCAUAUAUUUGGUGCUUAAAUUUGUAUGUAUUUUUUUACACUAGUAAGUCAGGUCAUUUACCUCCCACUCUUCCUCAAACAGAUGUCUUUAGCAAACUUAAGUUCCUCCAGUCAGUCUGUUUAUUCAGCCUGAGGCAGGAAUCAAUAACUUCUAGUGACACUGACAGGAUUAGUUUCUAUAUUCAAUAAAUAUGUAUUUUUGAUUACCUACUGUGCCAUGCAUAACAAUAGACAUUGGAGAGUUUGCAGUUUCUGUUCCCAUAGGAUCUAGAAUUAAGAAACAUUUAUAUUUGAAACCACGAUUGUCCAGUGCCUACAGUAUCUGUUGGGUUGUUACAAAAAUGGCUGGUAGAUUUUAUAAAGUUUCUUAGUUAUAUUGAACUUCAAACAUAGAAGAAGAAAAUAUUAUCUGGUUCUUAUAUGUCUUAGCUGUGUGUCCUCAGUGAUUAGAAAAUGAGAAAGCUGUGUCUGUGUUGGCUCUUCCAGUGUCAAGUGUUAUCUUUACGAGGGAUUCUUAGCUGUAUAAGUUGUGUUUCAAAAUGAAGGCAAAAUUGCUAUACGUCAUCCCAAUAGACUAUGUAGGGAUUAAUGUUAUUCCUUUUUAUAGUCACAGGCUCAGCAUGUUUAGUUGAUUUAUCCAAAAUCAUUUAACUCUGUUGGUAUGGAGUAUAGGUUGCUAGAGCCUGGGUUUGAUCUCGUGAUAUAUUACUUUUACUUUUUCCUUUAUUCAUUAAUGAGAAUAGCAUCAAGUGUAAAGACAGGGCAAAUGUUUUGAUUUAGGAUCAUUUAUGGAACUUGAUGGAAUUUUAACUGUGCUUCCCACAUCACGCACAUGAAUCAAACUCUAAUAUAAUACCUAUGAGAAACAUCAGGCAGAAGAAUUUCUGAGGCAUUUAACUGUGAUUUUAGAAGUCAUUAUUUUUCCCUGAUUAUGCCUCCCCCCACCCCAUGUUCUGGGACCCACUCAUAGUUUUAACAAUACCUUCAAAAUCUGUUUGUCCUGAAUAGAUGAUUCACACAUACUCAGAUAUGAAAAUAAGGAAAUGUUGAAAUGUAUUAAUUAUUAGCAAUAUACAAAUUUAAAUAAUAGAAUAAUAGAAAAGAAAAUAUCCAAAAUUAAAACUCAGUAAUUAUUCUAAUGAAAUAUCUCUCUUAUUUUCCUGUUGGUAGUUUAAAUUAGGAUAAAUCCAUAGGAAAAUAGUUUGGCGCCAUCAGGAGCCAGCAAAAUGCUCUUUGACCUCAUAAUCCCCUUUCUGGGAAUCUAUCCUAAGGAGCAAUCCAAACUAUGGAGAAAGCUACACCCCUGAAACAGCAGAAACCGCAUAUGUGCCUAACAACAGGGGCAUAGUCAAUUAAUUCUCUCUCUCUUUUUUUUUUUUUGCUGGAUAGAAUGAAUGACCGUUAAAAAGACCAGUGUAGUGACAUGAUACAGUUACUGACAAUGCAAAAUUAAAAUACAUACAAAUUUGUCUUAUAAUUACAAAUAGAAAAGCAGAUGCACAGGGAAAAUAUAAAAAAUAAAAAAGCUAGAGGAAACUUACCCUAAUACCAAGAGAAGUUUAGCUAGGGUCAUGGGACUUCUUGGUGGUUUUUUUCUUUUUCUAUUUUCCAAAAUUUCAGUCAUGUUAUUUAUAUUACUUUUAUUCAAAUUCUUAAUAAAAAUAUGUCUAAUUGAGUUGUUCUCCACAGCUGUGUUGAAGCUGGCCGGUGGGUUUGGAAGUGAGUGGGAGGAAAGGGGUGGAGUUAGAGCCAGCAAGCAGAACCUGCCACAGAGAGGCCUGGCCUGUCCUCUUCACACAGCUGCCCACGGAGAGGGCCAGUUCCUGAGGGAAGUAUGUCUGCCAAAGCUCUGUAAAGACAUUUGUUAGCCGAAACUCUCACAAAGGUGACCUUUAUUCAUCUGCUUCUUCAUCUGAAAUACUGGAAUAAGAGGAUUUGUCCGAGUUCCUGGCAGCCUUGUUGCCAAGGCAAUGGUGGUAAUGCACAUGAACUUGCAUUGCGUGCCCUGUACCCCACUCUCUGUUAGUUGCUCUUGUUGUAAAAUAAUCCCAAUGGUAACAUUUGAAUCUUGGCU
This 3447-nucleotide long non-coding RNA is filed under the name Sus scrofa (pig). Its description in RNAcentral is "lncRNA (ENSSSCG00055013267.1)". The record is from RNAcentral. Lineage: Eukaryota; Metazoa; Chordata; Mammalia; Artiodactyla; Suidae.